RNAcentral lists this ribosomal RNA (308 nucleotides) under uncultured bacterium. Its description in RNAcentral is "bacterial SSU rRNA". It matches the Rfam family "Bacterial small subunit ribosomal RNA", at positions 28 to 327 of the family's 1533-position model. The record is from RNAcentral.
GAUGAACGCUGGCGGCGUGCCUAAUACAUGCAAGUCGAACGCACAGCGAAAGGUGCUUGCACCUUUCAAGUGAGUGGCGAACGGGUGAGUAACACGUGGAUAACCUACCUCAAGGUUGGGGAUAACAUUUGGAAACAGAUGCUAAUACCGAAUAAAACUUCGUAUCGCAUGAUACAAGGUUAAAAGGCGCUACGGCGUCACCUAGAGAUGGAUCCGCGGUGCAUUAGUUAGUUGGUGGGUAAAGGCUACCAAGACAAUGAUGCAUAGCCGAGUUGAGAGACUGAUCGGCCACAUUGGGACUGAGACAC